AAGACAAACAAUACUCAGAGUAAGAACAGAGUUACCCUCCUUCUUCGCGACCGGAGAAGAUCAGCCUUCAAUCGACAGAUAAAAACCCUAGGUCCGUUCACCGGAAAUCGUAGGUUCCAAGAAACUACCAGAAUAAAACCACAGACGUCGGAAAGUCACCCAAAACGUCUAUUAACCGAAGAUAAAGUCAUCGGAUAACAUCAAACUCCAGG
This 212-nucleotide long non-coding RNA is filed under the name Nicotiana benthamiana. RNAcentral's name for it is "long non-coding RNA (NBEN_LNC000404)". The record is from RNAcentral. Lineage: Eukaryota; Viridiplantae; Streptophyta; Magnoliopsida; Solanales; Solanaceae.